Molecule: ribosomal RNA, 382 nt
Filed under: uncultured eukaryote
Lineage: Eukaryota
Description: SSU rRNA
Rfam family: Eukaryotic small subunit ribosomal RNA
Source: RNAcentral
AGCUCCAAUAGCGUAUAUUAAAGUUGUUGCGGUUAAAACGCUCGUAGUUGGAUUUGCGGCCUCGGAGAACGGUCCCCCGAAAGGGCGGUCACUGUCUCUCCUAGCCUAAAUUCGAGUCGUCUCUAGGUGCUCUUUACCGGGUGCUUAGAGUGACUAGAACGUUUACUUUGAAAAAAUUAGAGUGCUUAAAGCAGGCGAAAUAGCCUGAAUAAGGUGCAUGGAAUAAUGGAAUAGGACCUCGGUUCUAUUUUGUUGGUUUUCGGAACCCGAGGUAAUGAUUAAGAGGAACAGACGGGGGCAUUCGUAUUCCGGCGCUAGAGGUGAAAUUCUUGGACCGCCGGAAGACGGACAACUGCGAAAGCAUUUGCCAAGAAUGUUUUCA